AUUGAACGCUGGCGGCAGGCCUAACACAUGCAAGUCGAGCGGAUGAAGGGAGCUUGCUCCUGGAUUCAGCGGCGGACGGGUGAGUAAUGCCUAGGAAUCUGCCUGGUAGUGGGGGAUAACGUCCGGAAACGGGCGCUAAUACCGCAUACGUCCUGAGGGAGAAAGUGGGGGAUCUUCGGACCUCACGCUAUCAGAUGAGCCUAGGUCGGAUUAGCUAGUUGGUGGGGUAAAGGCCUACCAAGGCGACGAUCCGUAACUGGUCUGAGAGGAUGAUCAGUCACACUGGAACUGAGACACGGUCCAGACUCCUACGGGAGGCAGCAGUGGGGAAUAUUGGACAAUGGGCGAAAGCCUGAUCCAGCCAUGCCGCGUGUGUGAAGAAGGUCUUCGGAUUGUAAAGCACUUUAAGUUGGGGGGAAGGGCAGUAAGUUAAUACCUUGCUGUUUUGACGUUACCAAUAGAAUAAGCACCGGCUAACUUCGUG
Molecule: ribosomal RNA, 484 nt
Filed under: uncultured bacterium
Lineage: Bacteria
Description: partial 16S ribosomal RNA
Rfam family: Bacterial small subunit ribosomal RNA
Source: RNAcentral